RNAcentral lists this non-coding RNA (28 nucleotides) under Bombyx mori (domestic silkworm). Lineage: Eukaryota; Metazoa; Arthropoda; Insecta; Lepidoptera; Bombycidae. The record is from RNAcentral.
UGUCAGCUCUGCUACCUGUCGUGUCAGC